RNAcentral lists this long non-coding RNA (590 nucleotides) under Phasianus colchicus (ring-necked pheasant). RNAcentral describes it as "lncRNA (ENSPCLG00000000177.1)". The record is from RNAcentral. Lineage: Eukaryota; Metazoa; Chordata; Aves; Galliformes; Phasianidae.
AUUCAAGUAAUGUUUCUUGUUGUCUGUUACCGUAAUAUUGCCAGAUUAGAACAGUAACACCCUUCUCUAUUUUCAUUAGUACGUUAUAGCUUGUUGGACACAACUUCAGAGACUUCAGAGUGUUCUGAGGACACCAAAGCUCAGGAAAUACAGAGUUUGUAUAUUAGAUCCAUAUAGAGUGAUGGACUGAGAUGGCUACGCCAAGUUUGAUUGAUUAACCUUUCAACUGAAGAAAGAAGAAGAACAUUUGUUUUCAAGUUUUUCACUGCUCACAUUUCAUAUGGUCAUAUUUUUCCACAUUUGCUGUUUAUCUGAAAAUACUCCCCUUGUGAAGCCACCUUGGAUAGCUUUUCUUCCAGCAUUUGCUUUGAAGCAAACCCUCAGCUAAAGUGAUCAAAACUGUAAGGACAAAAGACUGCUUAUUUCUCUCGACAAGUUUGAGCAAGCCCAACAAGCCCUCAAGCUAACUCAGAUAAUCUACUAAUUCAAAAUAACGUCUUUAGGGAUGGAUGGGGUAAUUAUUGCAAACAUAGUGUUUCUAAUUUCUGGAUACUAUACAUGUAAAUAAACUUCACUGACAUUGUGCUGCA